RNAcentral lists this ribosomal RNA (402 nucleotides) under Bacteroidota bacterium. RNAcentral describes it as "Bacteroidetes bacterium partial 16S ribosomal RNA". It matches the Rfam family "Bacterial small subunit ribosomal RNA", at positions 355 to 776 of the family's 1533-position model. The record is from RNAcentral. Lineage: Bacteria; Pseudomonadati; Bacteroidota.
UGGGGAAUUUUGCACAAUGGGGGAAACCCUGAUGCAGCGACGCCGCGUGAUUUAGAAGGCCUUCGGGUUGUAAAAAUCUUUUUUACGGGAUGAAAAUGACAGUACCGUAAGAAUAAGGUCCGGCUAAAUACGUGUCAGCAGCCGCGGUAAUACGUAUGGACCGAGCGUUGUCCGGAAUCAUUGGGCGUAAAGGGUACGUAGGCGGCCUAGUAAGUUAGAAGUUAAAGAAUAUAGCUCAACUAUAUAAAGCUUUUAAAACUGCUAGGCUUGAGAGAUGGAAGGGAAAGUGGAAUUCCUAGUGUAGCGGUGAAAUGCGCAGAUAUUAGGAAGAAUACCGGUGGCGAAGGCGACUUUCUGGUCAUCAUCUGACGCUGAGGUACGAAAGCGUGGGUAGCAAACAGG